ACAUACACGCGCAUGCACGUCUUUAUGAGCGAAAUAUUCUUCAGUACGAUGUUAAAGCCCAUUUCAGCUCACCUCACCUGGGAUUGUACUUCAGCAUGAGUUGCAUCUGUCACAGAAAUACCCUCUGUGUAGUGUAUGGUAUGUUUCAUACAGGAUACAAGUAGGAUAAAUAGAGUAUACCCAGGUGUGAUGUGUCAAACCAAGGCUCAUCUGUCAUACCAAGGCAUGUUCUGUCACACCAAGAUCUGAAGCUACAAGUUCAAGCCUGGUUUUCAAAGGAUUCACAGGUAUGAUCUGUCACAUCCAGGUAACAACUGUCAUACUCUGAUGAGUCAGUCAUAUCCAAGUGAGGUCUAUUAUACCUAUGAUAUAGUGAGGUCUGUCAUACCCAUGACAUGGUGAGGUCUGUCAUACCAAGGUAACGUCUUUCAUGCCUAUGACAUGGUGAGGUCUGUCAUACCCAUGACAUGGUGAGGUCUGUCAUACCCAUGACAUGGUGAGGUCUGUCAUACCAAUACCAUGGUGAGGUCUGUCAUACCCAUGACAUGGUUAGGUCUGUCAUACCAAGGUGAGGUCUGCCAUACCCAUGAUAUGGUGAAGUCACCAAGUUGAGCUGUCAUACCCAUGAUAUGGUGAGGUCUGCCAUACCCAUGAUAUGGUGAAGUCACCAAGUUGAGAUGUCAUACCCAUGAUAUGGUGAGGUCUGUCCUCUGCGGGGCGAGCAACGGAGGUGAGGUGUAAGUUUCAGCAACUACAAGGUGAAGCGGACGCAGAUCUUUGAUGAGUUUGUU
Haliotis rubra (blacklip abalone) is the source of this 791-nucleotide long non-coding RNA. RefSeq lists it as uncharacterized. The record is from RefSeq and is a predicted model, not a curated record. Lineage: Eukaryota; Metazoa; Mollusca; Gastropoda; Lepetellida; Haliotidae. The transcript is spliced from 5 exons.